UUGGCUCCACCUCUCCUAGACCCCAUUUAAGAGCUGACUACCAGUGGGGAAGGAUCUCUUUCCUGGAGAUUUCUCCUUUGGAGUUUUCCAGCAAGCCCAGGACAAGGUAGCUCUACAAGGAUGAAAGCUGGCAACAAGACAGUUAAUUACAACAUGUAUCUUCUCUGGGGAGAGUAAUAUAGUCUGUUUACUAGCUGUUGCAGAUUUCCCUGUUUUGUCUCUGCUGAGAAGGCCUACAGUAUUCACAAGAGGAAAUACUGUUUUGACUGAAAACCAUUAUCCACACCAGGAGAGUUGUAACUACACGCCGGGGGAACUAUGAAAAAAAAAAUAAAUAUAUGGUGUAUUCUCAUGAGACUUGGAAAGACAGUGUCCCUGCUCAGGCACAGCUAGGGUUGAUAUCAUGAGAGUGCAACAGCUAAUGACUACCAGGCUCAGGAUGGGCUCUGGGAUUACUGCAUCUAACUUGUUGUUCUGAUAAUACUUUGUGUUUUAUAGUCAUUCAAACAAGUGAAUGCUUGGACACAUUAAAUAUUUUGGGUUUAUACACAGCUUAAAGAAAAGUCGAAUUUUGUUGUUUUUUUUUUUUUGUUCUGGCAUAUUUAUUCUGACAUGGCUUCAGCAGAGAAUGUGCAUAUUAUUAGAGCAUCACUGCUUUUAUUUAAGUCAAUUUGCGUUAUUGCUACUGCCAAAAGUAUGCGUGGGCUAAGGGACUUUCAGUUUGACUCAUGUUUAAGAGGCAUCAAAAGCCCUUCUAAUUCCUCCGGUGUGGAAUGUUUAUAUAUUCAUUUUGGGAGAUUCUGGGGGGGACGAGGAGGAGGAAAAAAAGUAGGAAAACAUUUGAUUUUUUUUAAUUCUUUCUAGAAAUUCAUGAUAAAGAUAUAUUCAGCAUUCCUAGAACUUUCCUGAGAUGAUUCUGUACUGCUGCUUUUUGAAGCACAGCAAGUUGACUGUUAAUUGAACUUAAUGCUGAUUCGAGAACUGAGAUGAAUAAAUUUUGCACACCUUUGAGAUAUGUGUCUAUUCCAUUUCAAAAACAAGAAUGUUAGCUGUUCCAUUGUUGUUCUUGAAAACAUGCAUAGACAAGAAUUAAGAUCCUAAGCAAUGAAUUGUUUGCCCAGUGGAACUCCUAGAAUUAAAUGUGUGUAAGAGACAAUGUUGGGCAUUGUAAUAUUUGUUUGCUUUUUUCAUGUUUUUGUUUUACACUGUGGUAAAAGAAUAUGUUUCUUUAAAUAUUUUUGUCAGCAUAUUCUGAUAUAUAUGUAAAUUUCUGUUACUUUUAUCUUUAUCACUUCAGAUAGCAUCCUCUCAAGUUCUUAAAUAUGCUACCUUUAAGAAUUGAGCUCUAAAGGUCAGGUUAGAUCUUCUUCCUCUUAAUUUUAUUCCUCUUUUCCUCCUCAUUAAUGCUUCCCCCAGAUAGAUUAAAUAGAGGUAUUUGGGUGAAUAUUCAUUUUUUACUGUUGCAAAUCUUCAUAUUUGAAGGUCAUUACCAUCUUGUCCUAUAGAAUUUGUGAGGUUCUUGAGAGGCAUGCUUUCUAGAUAUAUCUAGAAGAUUUUUGAAUAAUUUUUUAGCAAGUUAAUAUUUUGAAUACACAGAACCUUUCCUGAAACACAGUGUAUUAUUUUGCAUGAAUUUUUGGUGUAUAUCAUACUUUAUUCUAUUCAGUUUUCCAUUUUCUGUGAAGCCAGUAACUAAUUAUAAACAGGUUUGAUGAUGGAGAUUUAAAUGCAAAAUAACUGUUAGUGUUUCUAGUAUAUAGAACACAUUUUCUUUUUUGACUGGAUGUGUGACUGUAGCCAGCCAUGCUGGGACUGUGACAAGUUACAGUUCUGUGUCAUUCAUCUCCCAUGACAUCCUUUUUAUGGGUGGUAGUGGUUAUCCCUUUGUCUUUAACUUAAGUACCUCUUAUGAUAUUGCUUUGACAAUGAGUGGCAGUCCAUAUAGAAAGCUGAGGAUCUUAAUCCUUGUUGAAGUGAUCUUUUAGUUGAGAUGAUUUGCUGUCUUGGAGUAAAUGUAUAAAAUGACUCAAGUUCAAGUAAUUGUUCUAACCUGGAUGAGGAAAAAAGAGCAGGAGUUUUAUGUUACAGGAGAGAGGAAUAAAAGUAAGAUUUUUUUUUCUACUUCCGAGAUUCAUGUUGUUGGGAGGAUUAGAAGCUAAAGUUUUUCCUUUUGUCAGGCUCUGUUCUGUGCUACUGUUGGAUAUUUCUUAUAUUAAUGCAGUGAAAAUUCUCACCCUAUCAUUAAUUUACCCCAGUGUAAAUUUCCAUGAAAUUGUUGCAUGCCUGUGAGAGCUCUGGUAACUAGUUAUGUGGCAUUUAAAGCUGAUUUUUGAGGUUUAUACUGGUUUCCCAAGUCUCAAAGUCUACAAUGCCCGGUGAGCUUUUUUUAGUUUUCCCUCACCUUUUGUCAUCUUUCUUGACUUUUAGAGAGUUUUAAAGGUCACUGUUAUCCCAGACAGUACCCAUUUUCCUUUUCUGCAGAAUAUGCUUGUCAAAAAUACUUUCUUAAACACAGCAAUCAGUUUCCUUAGGAACCCAUACACCUCAAUUUGUCCUAAGAAUACUGAAAAGGAAUCUAGAAUAUAGUUUUUUCCUCUCAAGAUUCUUUUUUUUGUCUACAUCAAUUGCUACCACUUUUAACAGAAUCUGUACUGCAGAAGAGAACACUACUUAGAAAAUAGAGCAUGCAUUUGGUACAGAAAUGAUAUGUGAAAUCCUGUCUAGAAAUCAAAAUAAAAUAGAAUUUGUCAUUUACAUGCUAUAUUUGAUUCAAUUCAUAAUUAUUAUCCUAGCAAAUUGCCUUUUUAAUUUUAGUAUAAGUGAUUAAAGUUUAGCCAUUUGAAUGACCUAUGUAAUUGCGGAUGUAUUUUCAGAAAAUGCUUCUUUUUUUGAUGGGAAGGAUUUAUUUGAUCUGUGAGGAAUAUUGGUUCUGUAACUGAGCUACUGCCUAAGGGAAAAUUGAACACAGGAGAUAUUCACAUGCUCUUGUGUUCGUGUAUCAACAUUCUCCAGGAAGGGUAAUCUCAAAUGUAAGCAAGGUUACUCCAGAAAAGAGUGUAAUGUGAAUAAAGCUUAUAGUGAGAGAACAAAAUGAAAUUUAAGAUGUGGUUGAAGUUGGUGCUUUUUUUUCUUUACAAACCGAAACUAAAAAACCUUCUCAUGCUAGUGUUGUCAUUUGGUUUAUCUUAUAAGAGCAGAAAUCAGGGUUUUGAUCUGUAAAAAUCUGUUUGUUUGUUUUUUUUAACUAAGUUUAACAUGUCAGAGAACACCGUGUUUACCAAUUUGAAGAACAAUCAUUAGGCUCAAUAUUUUUAACCCUAUUACACAGCAGCAAUUCUCAUACAGUGACAGUAACUUCCCUGGGGAGGAUCACAUCUCUACCAAGUGAAAUCAAAGCAAAUUCAUGGAAUGUCAACA
Meleagris gallopavo (turkey) is the source of this 3417-nucleotide non-coding RNA. NCBI's taxonomy places the organism in Eukaryota, Metazoa, Chordata, Aves, Galliformes, Phasianidae. The record is from RefSeq and is a predicted model, not a curated record.